This is a long non-coding RNA of Solanum dulcamara, 530 nucleotides long. RefSeq lists it as uncharacterized. Lineage: Eukaryota; Viridiplantae; Streptophyta; Magnoliopsida; Solanales; Solanaceae. The record is from RefSeq and is a predicted model, not a curated record. The transcript is spliced from 2 exons.
UGCGUCUAUUCUUCUUCGGAAGAAAACUGAGAAAAUUUCUCAAAUUCUUCUUCAUCUCUUCUUCUUCUCCAUUUUUUUCUUCUUCUUCGUCAUCGUCCUCUUCUUUGUUCUCGUCAUCUUGCUUCUCUCAUUGUUAGGGUUUUAAACUCUUCAAAGGCUUGCGCAUUUGAAGUCAUUUCUUACCUUCAGAAGCAAUUUAAAGAGUUUGAUGAAGAAGUGUCAUUUUCAAGGAUCCUUAGAUAGCUACAACGAGCAAUAAAAAUAAAAUUGAGGCUCAUUUAUUAUUUGAUCCUCUGCAAAUUGAUUUCUGAAACAUAAUAUAGCUGCAGUUUCUUGCAGUAGUUGCUGCAUAUUUUUCAGUAAUUGUUGCAUAAUUUUAUAGCAAUUGCUGAAGAAUAUGCACCAACUGUUGCACACAACUGCAACUAUCAUAUGUUUUCAGAAGUUAGUUGUUAAUUGUAAUUUAUUGAUAUAAUUUUAUUCAAUUAUUUUCAUACAUUACUAUAUUUAUUAAAAUAAUUUAUUCUACA